Molecule: non-coding RNA, 365 nt
Organism: Pelobates cultripes (western spadefoot toad)
Lineage: Eukaryota; Metazoa; Chordata; Amphibia; Anura; Pelobatidae
Source: the annotation of a GenBank genome assembly
CUCUAUUUGGGCAGUCAGGAUCAGUAGAUCUUUUACUAGGGCAUAAAUAUUUGUUGUUGAACAAAGAUUACCACAUACAUUCCAAGGUUUUACACUACCCGAAAUCGCCUUACAUGCAUCAAAGAAUAGAAUACCCGUAGAAUGUAUGGUGCUUAUCAAAGUCCUAUUUAUCAAUGUCCCCUGAGAGUUACUAUUUCGAAUUACCAACCAAAUUGUACAGGGUUGGAAUUGGGGAUCGAAACACUUAGGCUCACCUGAUAUCGGAUGACACACACUAUAAUCAGUAUCUAAGUACCUACACCUAGACACAGAUCCCUUACAUUCAUAUUGUUGUGAGUGCCAAAUUAGGGUCUAGAAUAUCUGGU